AUGGAGACCAGCCCCAGCGCGUCCACGCCGACCAGCUGCGCCACCCUCAACGCCUGCCCAAGCGCGCCCCACAGGCCGUUCGCCAUGGCCAAUCCCGCCCGGGAGCUGCUCAAGAAGGACAACACCUACGUCUACAUGUGCGGCAUCGACUGGCUGGACUACAAGAAGCAGCGCAUCCGCUCGCCCAGUCGCCCACCGGGAAAGUUGCUUCGCCCAUUCGCUCCUCCGGCCAGGACAGCUCGGCCGUCGCUGGAGCGGCAACAACGGCGAGCCGCGGAGACGCGGCCGUGGCAGGGAGCGAAGAUGGCGGCCGUCGUCACAAUCGCAAUUCCUAGCCGGACGCCGCCCGCCCUUGGAGCAGUAGAACCGGGACAAUGGCCAUCGCCGCCCAUCGCCGAACAGCAGAGGAGGCGGCCUCCGCGCCACCGUGCUCCCACCAGCCACUCCGAGCCCCACAACAAGCACUCCCCCGGCCGCAAGCGU
This 483-nucleotide long non-coding RNA is filed under the name Oryza sativa aus subgroup. Its description in RNAcentral is "lncRNA OsN22_06G010300". Lineage: Eukaryota; Viridiplantae; Streptophyta; Magnoliopsida; Poales; Poaceae. The record is from RNAcentral.